RNAcentral lists this transfer RNA (86 nucleotides) under Deltaproteobacteria bacterium. RNAcentral's name for it is "tRNA-Tyr". It matches the Rfam family "tRNA". From Rfam's summary of the family: Transfer RNA (tRNA) molecules are approximately 80 nucleotides in length. Their secondary structure includes four short double-helical elements and three loops (D, anti-codon, and T loops). The record is from RNAcentral. Lineage: Bacteria; Pseudomonadati; Myxococcota; Myxococcia.
GGAGGGAUUCCCGAGUGGCCAAAGGGAGCAGACUGUAAAUCUGCCGACGUAUGUCUUCGGAGGUUCGAAUCCUCCUCCCUCCACCA